AGCAGAGGACGUGCAGCGCCACGAAAGAAAAGGGCCUCGCCGCCAGCUGCCAUCCGCCGUUGUCCAAGAGAACCAGAAGCAACUGACAGGAGACGCGACCAGAGAGAAGCCACCACAGGAGAGUGCCAACCGCCAUCAGGAAGCCAUCGCUUCUAGCGUUCACGCCGUUCAGCUAGAGAAGUCAUCCACACGCAGCAACACGCAUUCCCGGCCAUCAUCAGAGAAAGGAAGGCAUCAAAAGGAAGCCAGCAGAGGAAGAUGCCAGGAGGCUGCUAAAGAGGCCCAAAUACAAGUCAGCAUAAAGCACAAAAGCAGCAGCCAACGCCUCUGACAUAAUCAACAUCCAUCCAGAUGGCAUUCACGACAUCCAUGGGUGAGAAACAUUGUUAAUCUAUUAUUUUCUAUUGUCUAAUCGCAGGGGUAAAGGACAGAACGUGACGAGCCACCUUAUCGCCCCCGGUCCAUCAGCCACCUCACCUUCAUCAUCGUCGGUGCGUCCACCUCACCACUACCGCGAGUUGCGCUAUCAACGGCUACCAAAGUUCCCUGGCAGCAUCGUCCCACGACACGCGCGCCUAUAUCAGCAUCGGCAGCAUCGUCCAAGCAUCCGUUUGCCACAAUGACCUCCACAUCGAUUUUCGACUAGAGUGUUUGCUGACGAUGCAUUCCAGCAACUGACCUCUCCAUCGACAUCGAUUCUACCAGAUUGGCUCGCCAACGACACAUUCUGGUGAUCUGAUCCACAUGGGCUCCCUACCGUGACUUCGCCCCUGCAUGGAGGACUCACACAACCACCUCAACACCCCGCAAAAGCUUUCUAAAAAGUCUUGGAUCACUCUUUUUGGUGAUCUGAAGAUUAAGUUAUGGAUGUUUAAAUUCUGAAGACUGAAUCUGUCUAAUUCUGGACAGUAAAGUCUCCUAGUGUCUUUUAACCUUGAUACACUUUAAAUCAAC
RNAcentral lists this long non-coding RNA (954 nucleotides) under Zea mays. RNAcentral's name for it is "long non-coding RNA (ZMAY_LNC003174)". Lineage: Eukaryota; Viridiplantae; Streptophyta; Magnoliopsida; Poales; Poaceae. The record is from RNAcentral.